RNAcentral lists this non-coding RNA (165 nucleotides) under Ammonifex degensii. RNAcentral's name for it is "GlcN6P sequence". It matches the Rfam family "glmS glucosamine-6-phosphate activated ribozyme aptamer". From Rfam's summary of the family: This entry contains a glucosamine-6-phosphate activated ribozyme that is found in the mRNA for GlmS. GlmS is an enzyme that uses fructose-6-phosphate and glutamine to generate glucosamine-6-phosphate. The record is from RNAcentral. Lineage: Bacteria; Bacillati; Bacillota; Clostridia; Thermoanaerobacterales; Thermoanaerobacteraceae.
CAUAGACUUUAAGCGCCAGGACCGGCCUUGGCUUAAACAAAAGGCCGGUUGACGAGGUGGAGGUUUAUCGAGCUUUCGGCGGAUGCCUCCCGGCUGGCCACGGCCGUUAGCGGUGUUACAAAACCGGCAGGCAACUGCCGGGACAAAAGCACCAGGUGGCAAAAG